GACGAACGCUGGCGGCGUGCUUAACACAUGCAAGUCGAACGGAAAGGCCCUGCUUUUGUGGGGUGCUCGAGUGGCGAACGGGUGAGUAACACGUGAGUAACCUGCCCUUGACUUUGGGAUAACUUCAGGAAACUGGGGCUAAUACCGGAUAGGAGCUCCUGCUGCAUGGUGGGGGUUGGAAAGUUUCGGCGGUUGGGGAUGGACUCGCGGCUUAUCAGCUUGUUGGUGGGGUAGUGGCUUACCAAGGCUUUGACGGGUAGCCGGCCGGAGAGGGUGACCGGCCACAUUGGGACUGAGAUACGGCCCAGACUCCUACGGGAGGCAGCAGUGGGGAAUAUUGCACAAUGGGCGGAAGCCUGAUGCAGCAACGCCGCGUGCGGGAUGACGGCCUUCGGGUUGUAAACCGCUUUCGCCUGUGACGAAGCGUGAGUGACGGUAAUGGGUAGAGAAGCACCGGCUAACUACGUG
This 468-nucleotide ribosomal RNA is filed under the name uncultured bacterium. RNAcentral describes it as "partial 16S ribosomal RNA". It matches the Rfam family "Bacterial small subunit ribosomal RNA", at positions 28 to 507 of the family's 1533-position model. The record is from RNAcentral.